Molecule: long non-coding RNA, 2027 nt
Filed under: Homo sapiens (human)
Lineage: Eukaryota; Metazoa; Chordata; Mammalia; Primates; Hominidae
Description: HSALNT0122701
Source: RNAcentral
ACCUAAGCAAGCCUGGGCAAUGGCGGGCGCCCCUCCCCCAGCCUCGCUGCCGCCUUAAAGUUUGAUCUCAGACUGCUGUGCUAGCAAUCAGCGAGAUUCCGUGGGCGUAGGACCCUCCGAGCCAGGUGUGGGAUAUAAUCUUGUGGUUCACCGUUUUUUAAGCCGGUCUGAAAAGCGCAAUAUUCGGGUUGGAGUGACCCGAUUUUCCAGGUGCGUCCGUCACCUCUUUCUUUGACUCGGAAAGGGAACUCCCUGGCCCCUUGCGCUUCCCAAGUGAGGCAAUGCCUCGCCCUGCUUCGGCUUGCGCACGGUGCGCGCACCCACUGGCCUGCGCCCACUGUCUGGCACUCCCUAGUGAGAUGAACCCGGUACCUCAGAUGGAAAGGCAGAAAUCACCCGUCUUCUGCGUCGCUCACACUGGGAGCUGUAGACUGGAGCUGUUCCUAUUCGGCCAUCUUGGCUCCUCCCCCCAUUUGUGAUUUCUUUCAGCAGCAUUUUGUAGUUCUUGCAGAGAUGUUUCACAUCCUUGGACGGAAGACACGGCGCUCACUCCCGGGAAGGGCAGCAACAGGCGCCCCUUGGAAGCAGCCUUCAGCGGACACCUGAACGAAUCCGAGACUUUCCGACCACCAGAAGGGCAAAAAAAUAAUUUUCUGUUGUUUGUAAACAACAGAGAUUUUUCAUAACAGUCCAAACAAACUAAAACAUAUAUUAAUAGUUUGGGGCUUAUGCUAGCAUAUCUGGAAGCAUUGACUGCUGUAUAAUGUUAUUUCUUUUGUCAUUAUGUAAUGCAACUGAUGCAGGCAUGUGUGAUACAACUUAAAAGAAGACAAAACCUUGGGGUCGGGGAGAGCGUAUGGUAGACUCUGCCCCCACCCUCAUCCCCGCUGAGAGACUGAAUAUACAAAUGACAAUGGCCAGACCAUCUAUAAAAAUAGAAUCUGACCCACAUCCCCCAGCAACCUGCCCGGGAAGCCAGCCCCAGGGCUCUAGCAACCAGCCAAAAAAGCCAAACAAUAGCCAGUGCAACAAUCAGUCCCAAACAGUGAGACCUCAUUAAUAACUGACAGCCUCCUUAAUUUUUGCCCCCAGGUCCAACUUAGGACCAACCUGAGAAAGCCAAAUUUGCCCAGGACGGCACCAUGGGUUUUGGCUGGAGCACAGUAUUGCUGUUUGCUGUGAUGGGAAGUCCACAGAAGGAUCUCUCUUCUCCAGGGCUACUCAGAGUGUAGUCUGCGGAAUCGACGCUGGUCCAGGAACUCUUUGCUACUGUAUUACACCUUCUUGGGUUGCUGUAAAGAAAUACCUGAGGCUGGGUAACUUAUAAAGAAAAGAGGUUUAAUUGGCUCACAGUUCUGCAGGCUGUACAGGAAGCAUGGCGCUGGUAUCUGCUUCUGGUGCGGGCCUCAGGGAAUUUACAAUCGUGGCAGAAGGUGAAGGAGAAGCAGGCACGUCCCAUGGCAAAAAAGGGAGCAAGAGAUAGAGAGAGGAGGUGCCACACACUUUUAAACAACCAGCUCUCACGUGAACUCACUCAUCACCAAGACAAUGGUGCUAAGCCAUUCGUGAGGGGUCCACCCCCAUGAUCCACUACCGCCCACCAGGCCCCACCUCCAGCACAGGAGAUUACAUCUCAACAUGAGAUUUAGAGGGGAUGAAUAUCCAAACCAUCAGUUACCAAGCUGCAAUUGAGAUGUAUAUUGACAAUGUUCAGAAACUUUCAGAGCAAUUGUGGCAUAGUUAUGGUAAUUAUACCUAUUGAAUGUAUGUUGAACCUAAUAAUUAGAAGUUGGGAUUUAUCAUUUGCAUCUUUUUUUAGUAAUUUAUUUCUAUUUUACUUUAUAAAAAGAUUAAUCUGCAAUGAGUCAAAAAUAAAAAUCAAACUGAUCUUUCACUACAAAGAAUUUGAGAACCCUUGUGGCUGUUCUCCUUAUAGAAAUGAAUGGAGUCAAAGGUAGUGGAUGACAGUGGGUUAUCGAUAGAUACAAUGGAAACUCCUUGCAUUAAUAAAUAAAUGUGUGAGUUGA